GCGCACCAGGCGAGAAUCCUUCGCAAUGCGGGAAACCGCGACGAGGGGACUCCCAGUGCCUACGCUCAGCGUAGGCUGUUCCCGAGCCUAGAAAGCUCGGGGAGUAAGGGCUGGGUAAGACGGGUGCCAGCCGCCGCGGUAAUACCCGCAGCCCGAGUGGUGGCCACUAUUAUUGGGCCUAAAGCGUCCGUAGCCGGCCCGGUAAAUGCCUGGGUAAAUCGUGAGGCCUAACCUCACGAAUUCCGGGUAGACUGCCGGGCUAGGGACCGGAGGAGGGAGAGGGUACUCCAGGGGUAGGGGUGAAAUCCUGUAAUCCCUGGAGGACCACCGGUGGCGAAGGCGCUCUCCUAGGACGGGUCCGACGGUGAGGGACGAAAGCCAGGGGAGCGAACCGGAUUAGAUACCCCCGUAGU
RNAcentral lists this ribosomal RNA (413 nucleotides) under uncultured microorganism. Its description in RNAcentral is "bacterial SSU rRNA". It matches the Rfam family "Archaeal small subunit ribosomal RNA", at positions 330 to 745 of the family's 1478-position model. The record is from RNAcentral.